Rhizopogon vesiculosus is the source of this 83-nucleotide transfer RNA. It matches the Rfam family "tRNA". Rfam says of the family: Transfer RNA (tRNA) molecules are approximately 80 nucleotides in length. Their secondary structure includes four short double-helical elements and three loops (D, anti-codon, and T loops). Lineage: Eukaryota; Fungi; Basidiomycota; Agaricomycetes; Boletales; Rhizopogonaceae. The record is from Rfam.
AGGCAGUUGACCGAUUGGUAAUGGUGGUUAUCUGUAAAAUAAUUGGUCUCCGACCGUAAAAGGUUCGAUUCCUUUACUGCCUA